RNAcentral lists this ribosomal RNA (404 nucleotides) under Fusobacteriota bacterium. Its description in RNAcentral is "Fusobacteria bacterium partial 16S ribosomal RNA". It matches the Rfam family "Bacterial small subunit ribosomal RNA", at positions 355 to 776 of the family's 1533-position model. The record is from RNAcentral. Lineage: Bacteria; Fusobacteriati; Fusobacteriota.
UGGGGAAUCUUGCACAAUGGGGGAAACCCUGAUGCAGCGACGCCGCGUGAGCGAUGAAGGUUUUCGAAUCGUAAAGCUCUGUCCUAUGGGAAGAUAAUGACGGUACCAUAGGAGAAAGCUCCGGCUAAAUACGUGCCAGCAGCCGCGGUAAUACGUAUGGAGCGAGCGUUGUCCGGAAUUAUUGGGCGUAAAGGGUGCGCAGGCGGCUUUACAAGUUGGAUGUGAAAUAUUGUGGCUCAACCACAAACGUGCAUCCAAAACUGCAAAGCUUGAGUUAAGGAGAGGUAAGUGGAAUUCCUGGUGUAGCGGUGGAAUGCGUAGAUAUCAGGAGGAAUACCGGUGGCGAAGGCGACUUACUGGACUUAAACUGACGCUCAGGCACGAAAGCGUGGGGAGCAAACAGG